AACGAACGCUGGCGGCAUGCCUAACACAUGCAAGUCGAACGAGACCUUCGGGUCUAGUGGCGCACGGGUGCGUAACGCGUGGGAACCUGCCCUUAGGUUCGGAAUAACUCCCCGAAAGGGGUGCUAAUACCGGAUAACGUAUUCGGACCAAAGAUUUAUCGCCCGUGGAUGGGCCCGCGUUGGAUUAGCUAGUUGGUAGGGUAAAAGCCUACCAAGGCGACGCUCCAUAGCUGGUCUGAGAGGAUGAUCAGCCACACUGGGACGGGGACACGGCCCGGACUCCUACGGGAGGCAGCAGUGGGGAAUAUUGGACAAUGGGCGGAAGCAGGAUCCAGCAAUGCCGCGUAAGUGAUGAAGGCCGUAAGGUAGUAAAGCUCUUUUACACGGGAUGAUAAUGACAGUACCGGGAGAAUAAGCUCCGGCUAACUCCGUG
RNAcentral lists this ribosomal RNA (433 nucleotides) under uncultured bacterium. RNAcentral's name for it is "partial 16S ribosomal RNA". It matches the Rfam family "Bacterial small subunit ribosomal RNA", at positions 29 to 507 of the family's 1533-position model. The record is from RNAcentral.